AUUCAGUGACAACGUCGACUUUGAAGUUGCACUGACCUGGCCAGCCCUGCCACUUACCAGGUUGGGCUGUGGCUUGCCUUUUCACUUCUUGUGUCCUGUUUAAGAAAUAUCUGCUAUCCCAAGCAUCUGGCAUCUUUCUUGACAUACGUAGCAGUUGCUUUUUGACAGCUUGCUUCUGGAGUGAAUGAAUAAAUUAAUAAAUUUAUUCAUUUGAUAUUCAGUGACAUGUGAUAUUCAGUGAUCCAUUUUGCAGAUUGCAAACUCCUAGAGAAGGGCUCAACAGUGAGUGUUGAGGCUGCACAGAGGAGGAAGGUAGCACAAUGAUGGAAGGCUUCCUAAAGAGAUAACACUAACAAAGUUGACCUUAGAAUUGGAGUGCCCGGGUUAGAACCUUGCUGGUACCACCUGCUUACUGCAUGCUUCUGAUGUGAGUUCAGGAGAAGCCACUGGCAAGGACAGCAAAGAACAGGAGAACACUCUAGCUUCCCUGAUAGCAUUCAAGGUGCUGUCCAAAUUCUUGAAUCCAGUUCAUGAAUCGAGGGAGAUCCUUGGAUGUCUGAUGGCUGCUAUUCUGUUUCUCAAACAAUUUGAAUUCAUCAAGCCGUCACUGAAGAUUUGGAGUCACACAGUCAAGUUUAAAUCCAUGCUAUGCUAUUUAAAACUUGCAUGAUCUUGUGCUAAUUAAUCAAUUUUUGCUUCAGUUUCUGAAAUGGUAAGGGGCACAGGGAUAAUACAGUCUGCUUACCAUAUGGGUGAAGAUGUGGGGGAAGAUUAAAUACAUCGUUCUUACAUGAAAUGUAAAUAGAAAGCUCCUCCACAGUAAGCGAUCAGCUAAAGCUAGUUUACUUUCCACUGCUCUUCAAUAACGGAAAGAGUAAUUUUUCAUUACU
Molecule: long non-coding RNA, 890 nt
Filed under: Pongo abelii (Sumatran orangutan)
Lineage: Eukaryota; Metazoa; Chordata; Mammalia; Primates; Hominidae
Description: lincRNA
Source: RNAcentral